UCAAUUUUUCUCUAUUUUUGAUCAGAAAUCCCAAAACCUACGAUGAAGACGUGGCGGCCGAUGAAUACAAUGACAUUUCCGGCGAGAUGUUCGAUUGGCUCCAGCGAGAUUUUCGACGAGUUCCAGCGAGAUGUUCGACGGGCUCGAACAAAGCGACGAUGAAAUUGAAAUGGAGUCGUCUGUGGCUGAUGCAGAGUCGGCGAUUCGGGACGAGGAAUUCAGGUGGCAGAGAGUGGAGAAGCUCUGCGAAGAUGUGAAGCAGUUCGGCGAGGAAAUGAUUGACGAUGACUCUCUCGCCUCUAUCUACGAUUUCCGAAUCGAUAAAUUUCAGGUGCAUUGGAUUUGAUGAAGAUAUGCUUUAGUCUGCGAGAGUUUCAUCUGUUUUGCUUGACAGAGUGAUUCAAAUGAUGUAAUGAUCUACCUAUACCUCUGCAUUGCAUUGAAUUUUCGGCUUAUAUAUGCCACCUUUGAUGGAAUACAUAGUCUCCGUGCUCUCGGUUUUGAGGUGCGGUGAGGCGUUUCUGCCUCUGGACCCUUCCUGGCCAAAACAGAGGCUACUCUCCGUGUGGUUUUCUAUAGGUGGAGAGUUUGUGACAGUGAGUGAUGGAGGAGAGUGUAGGCGUGAGAGUGAGAAAGAGGAUGAGAGGCUGUUCUGUUAUGUAAUGUACAGUUCGGGCUCGACGGGGAAGCCGAAAGGUGUUUGUGGCACUGAACAAGGUCUUUGGAAUCGAUUUCUGUGGAUGCAAGAAUUGUAUCCACUGAAUGGAGAGGAGGUUUUGUUGUUCAAGACAGCAAUAAUCUUUGUUGAUCACUUUCAAGAAUUUCUUAGCGCUAUUCUUACUGGUUCUGCUUUGGUUAUACCUCCUUUCAAUCAACUUAAACAGAAUGUGUUCUCCAUUGUGGAUUUUCUACAGUGAUUCAAACUAGGAUUAGAACUGUUUGAUUCAAACAUGGUACAUGACCUUCGCUUAUUGUUUGUUUGGCUUUUCGUACUCAGAUUAUAUUCUUGAACUAGGAUUAGAACUGUGUUAGAAUACUACAUUUCAUAAAGGUAACUGGAUGUCAAUUACUCAAGACUACAAUACUUGAAAAUUUUUCAUGUGGUCUUGACAUGUGAAAUUUUAAUUUUUGGGAGGGAUUAUAGGAAAACACAUAUCUUGGAUUUGUAGUAGGCACGGGAUGUGGGUUGUAAUUAGUUGAUUAGUUUGAUCAGGGAAAAAGAGCAUAUGCUAGGAAGAAAACAGAUAUACGGAACUGUGCCUUUGAAAUUCAAUGGCUUGCAUCCUUUUCCAACAUGAAAUUCAAGCCAUAUUAGGCUACUAGUUAGGGAUCCACGUGCUGAUCAUAGAUUCAUAAUAACAGACUUUUGGCUCAUAUUUUGGUUCUAAUAUUGUAUACUUGAUAACAAUCAAAUGAUUGCACAGUGAAGGCUAUAUUUAGUGCAAAGUACUAAUUAAAAGAAAGCUCUGGUUUUGCUUAUCACUUUAUUGGUUAAUUGAGUUGCCUUCAGUCCAGAUGAAGCUUUUAGCUAAAUGGUCUAAUUUUGUGAUAAUGUUUUAGUUUUCUAUGGUCCUAUGCAGUGGUUGAUUAUGAUGCUUGGAUAUUUAUCUGUAUUAUGAGUAGUGGCCUUCUGUAGGGUUUCUCUAUAUGAAAACAUAUAUAUACUUGGUUAGUUGGCUGGUGUUUAACUGUUUUUGAUCAGCUAAUGUGCUAUUUCGUGACAGGAGAUAGAACUAAUGUGAUGUGGAACCUGAAUAAGCUACAACACAUCCACAAUUUAAAUUAUUCCUAUUCUGGAGGUGUAGUCUUGGCUUCUCGAGAUGGGAAGAUUGUGCAUGACAACACUCUCGAUGCACGGUUGGAUGUUGUAUUCAGUAUUCUGUAAAAAAACUUCCUGAGAUCCGCAUACGGCUUUUCAAUCAGGUUGUUGCAUAAUGGGAAGAAUUAUAUUUCAAGUCAUUAGUUCCUAGCAUGGUCUUUGACCAAAGGAUCUAUUGUUCAGUUGUUUAUUUAUGUAUUUCCAAUUUUCAUGUUCUCUGAAUAACUUUCACGGUAAAAUAGUUUAACCAUCAUCUUCUAUGGUGGUCAUAUGGUCUGGGGCAUGGCAAUGUACUCAUUCUUAUCAUUACAAUGAUAUUAAAAAAAGGGGUUAUUAUCACAAAUGGUACCUGAACUAUACCUCAAUCUUAUCGAUGGUACCUGAACUUCAAUUUUGAUCACAACCAGUACCCGAACUUUUCGAUUUCAUUUUAAAUGGUACCUAGAGCCACCUCCGGUCACUAUUCCGACUAAAAACGGCAUGGGAGGCAAUCAUAGUGAUGAUUUUUGAUGAUUUCAAGGGUUGCAAUCAUAUAUAGUGAUGAUUUUUUGGUAAUAUACUUGCCUUGAACUUGUUUCUUUUUUCUUUUUUUUUUAGAUUUGGCUUUUUUGGCCGGAAUAGUGACCGAAUGUGGCCUUAGGUACCAUUUAAAAUGAAAUCGAAAAGUUCGGGUACUGGUUGUGAUCAAAAUUGAAGUUCAGGUACCAUCGAUAAAAUAGAAGAUAAGUUCAGGUACCAUUUGUGAUAAUAACCCUAAAAAAAGUUUGCAGCUAUAUUUUCACUGCAUUUUGUUGGUUAAGUUUUCUUUCCUAGUUAUUAAAUGGGAAAAUUACUGAUCCCCCCUUUAACUUUUGGUGCGUCGACAGUUCAGUCCCUAUUAUUCCAAUUUUAACAGAUAACUCCCCAAACAUUCAAAUUUCACACAAUUUGAUCCAAAAUUAUCAUUUUACCCCUCACUUAUUUUUUUUUGUUUUUUGUUUUUAUUCUUCUCUCUCUCUCUUUUAUACAUAUGUAUAUAUAUGUGUGUGUGUGUGUGAGUAUACAUGUAUGUAUGU
This is a long non-coding RNA of Rosa rugosa (rugosa rose), 2874 nucleotides long. RefSeq lists it as uncharacterized. The record is from RefSeq and is a predicted model, not a curated record. NCBI's taxonomy places the organism in Eukaryota, Viridiplantae, Streptophyta, Magnoliopsida, Rosales, Rosaceae. The transcript has 4 exons.